GGGUUGUGAGGUUAAGCGACUAAGCGUACACGGUGGAUGCCCUGGCAGUCAGAGGCGAUGAAGGACGUGCUAAUCUGCGAAAAGCGUCGGUAAGGUGAUAUGAACCGUUAUAGCCGGCGAUGUCCGAAUGGGGAAACCCAGUGCAAUUCGUUGCACUAUCGUUUGAUGAAUACAUAGUCAAACGAGGCGAACCGGGGGAACUGAAACAUCUAAGUACCCCGAGGAAAAGAAAUCAACCGAGAUUCCCCCAGUAGCGGCGAGCGAACGGGGAGCAGCCCGGAGUCUGAAUCAGCUUGUGUGUUAGUGGAAGCGUCUGGAAAGUCGCAGGGUACAGGGUGAUACUCCCGUACACUAAAACACACAGGCUGUGAACUCGAAGAGUAGGGCGGGACACGUGGUAUCCUGUCUGAAUAUGGGGGGACCAUCCUCCAAGGCUAAAUACUCCUGACUGACCGAUAGUGAACCAGUACCGUGAGGGAAAGGCGAAAAGAACCCCGGCGAGGGGAGUGAAAAAGAACCUGAAACCGUGUACGUACAAGCAGUAGGAGCCUCUUUAUGGGGUGACUGCGUACCUUUUGUAUAAUGGGUCAGCGACUUAUAUUCUGUAGCAAGGUUAACCGUAUAGGGGAGCCGCAGGGAAACCGAGUCUUAACUGGGCGUUAAGUUGCAGGGUAUAGACCCGAAACCCGGUGAUCUAGCCAUGGGCAGGUUGAAGGUUGGGUAACACUAACUGGAGGACCGAACCGACUAAUGUUGAAAAAUUAGCGGAUGACUUGUGGCUGGGGGUGAAAGGCCAAUCAAACCGGGAGAUAGCUGGUUCUCCCCGAAAGCUAUUUAGGUAGCGCCUCGUGAAUUCAUCUUCGGGGGUAGAGCACUGUUUCGGCUAGGGGGUCAUCCCGACUUACCAACCCGAUGCAAACUACGAAUACCGAAGAAUGUUAUCACGGGAGACACACGGCGGGUGCUAACGUCCGUCGUGAAGAGGGAAACAACCCAGACCGCCAGCUAAGGUCCCAAAGUCAUGGUUAAGUGGGAAACGAUGUGGGAAGGCCCAGACAGCCAGGAUGUUGGCUUAGAAGCAGCCAUCAUUUAAAGAAAGCGUAAUAGCUCACUGGUCGAGUCGGCCUGCGCGGAAGAUGUAACGGGGCUAAACCAUGCACCGAAGCUGCGGCAGCGACACUAUGUGUUGUUGGGUAGGGGAGCGUUCUGUAAGCCGUUGAAGGUGGCCUGUGAGGGUUGCUGGAGGUAUCAGAAGUGCGAAUGCUGACAUAAGUAACGAUAAUGCGGGUGAAAAACCCGCACGCCGGAAGACCAAGGGUUCCUGUCCAACGUUAAUCGGGGCAGGGUGAGUCGACCCCUAAGGCGAGGCCGAAAGGCGUAGUCGAUGGGAAACAGGUUAAUAUUCCUGUACUCGGUGUUACUGCGAAGGGGGGACGGAGAAGGCUAUGUUGGCCGGGCGACGGUUGUCCCGGUUUAAGCAUGUAGGCGGAUGUUCCAGGUAAAUCCGGAACGUUAUUAACGCUGAGGUGUGAUGACGAGGCACUACGGUGCUGAAGUGACAAAUGCCCUGCUUCCAGGAAAAGCCUCUAAGCAUCAGGUAACAUCAAAUCGUACCCCAAACCGACACAGGUGGUCAGGUAGAGAAUACCAAGGCGCUUGAGAGAACUCGGGUGAAGGAACUAGGCAAAAUGGUGCCGUAACUUCGGGAGAAGGCACGCUGAUAUGUAGGUGAAGUGGUUUACCCAUGGAGCUGAAAUCAGUCGAAGAUACCAGCUGGCUGCAACUGUUUAUUAAAAACACAGCACUGUGCAAACACGAAAGUGGACGUAUACGGUGUGACGCCUGCCCGGUGCCGGAAGGUUAAUUGAUGGGGUUAUCCGUAAGGAGAAGCUCUUGAUCGAAGCCCCGGUAAACGGCGGCCGUAACUAUAACGGUCCUAAGGUAGCGAAAUUCCUUGUCGGGUAAGUUCCGACCUGCACGAAUGGCGUAAUGAUGGCCAGGCUGUCUCCACCCGAGACUCAGUGAAAUUGAACUCGCUGUGAAGAUGCAGUGUACCCGCGGCAAGACGGAAAGACCCCGUGAACCUUUACUAUAGCUUGACACUGAACACUGGUCCUUGAUGUGUAGGAUAGGUGGGAGGCUUUGAAGUGUGGACGCCAGUCUGCAUGGAGCCAUCCUUGAAAUACCACCCUUUAAUGGCUGGUGUUCUAACGUGGGCCCCUAAUCGGGGUUGCGGACAGUGUCUGGUGGGUAGUUUGACUGGGGCGGUCUCCUCCUAAAGAGUAACGGAGGAGCACGAAGGUCAGCUAAUCCUGGUCGGACAUCAGGAGGUUAGUGCAAUGGCAUAAGCUGGCUUGACUGCGAGCGUGACGGCGCGAGCAGGUGCGAAAGCAGGUCAUAGUGAUCCGGUGGUUCUGAAUGGAAGGGCCAUCGCUCAACGGAUAAAAGGUACUCCGGGGAUAACAGGCUGAUACCGCCCAAGAGUUCAUAUCGACGGCGGUGUUUGGCACCUCGAUGUCGGCUCAUCACAUCCUGGGGCUGAAGUAGGUCCCAAGGGUAUGGCUGUUCGCCAUUUAAAGUGGUACGCGAGCUGGGUUUAGAACGUCGUGAGACAGUUCGGUCCCUAUCUGCCGUGGGCGCUGGAGAAUUGAGGGGGGCUGCUCCUAGUACGAGAGGACCGGAGUGGACGCAUCACUGGUGUUCGGGUUGUCAUGCCAAUGGCAUUGCCCGGUAGCUAAAUGCGGAAGAGAUAAGUGCUGAAAGCAUCUAAGCACGAAACUUGCCCCGAGAUGAGUUCUCCCUGACCCUUUAAGGGUCCUGAAGGAACGUUGAAGACGACGACGUUGAUAGGCCGGGUGUGUAAGCGCAGCGAUGCGUUGAGCUAACCGGUACUAAUGAACCGUGAGGCUUAACCUUACAACGCCGAAG
This 2928-nucleotide ribosomal RNA is filed under the name Klebsiella sp. M5al. RNAcentral's name for it is "bacterial LSU rRNA". It matches the Rfam family "Bacterial large subunit ribosomal RNA". Lineage: Bacteria; Pseudomonadati; Pseudomonadota; Gammaproteobacteria; Enterobacterales; Enterobacteriaceae. The record is from RNAcentral.